This is a small nucleolar RNA of Liolophura sinensis, 129 nucleotides long. RefSeq annotates it as small nucleolar RNA SNORD67. The record is from RefSeq and is a predicted model, not a curated record. NCBI's taxonomy places the organism in Eukaryota, Metazoa, Mollusca, Polyplacophora, Chitonida, Chitonidae. The transcript has a single exon.
UACGAUACUAGUGAUGAGUUGCACAUUCUGUGUAGUCGGCAUGUGUGAUGUUAGACUGUCACAGCUGUAAACCUUGUUGAAGGUUCUCUGUAGACCAACCCAGGUGCACAGGGGCCAUCUGAAGUAUCA